GAUGAACGCUGGCGGCGUGCCUAAUACAUGCAAGUAGAACGCUGAAGGAAGGAGCUUGCUCUUUCCGGAUGAGUUGCGAACGGGUGAGUAACGCGUAGGUAACCUGCCUGGUAGCGGGGGAUAACUAUUGGAAACGAUAGCUAAUACCGCAUAACAGUAGAUGUUGCAUGAUAUCUACUUAAAAGGUGCAAUUGCACCACUACCAGAUGGACCUGCGUUGUAUUAGCUAGUUGGUGAGGUAACGGCUCACCAAGGCGACGAUACAUAGCCGACCUGAGAGGGUGAUCGGCCACACUGGGACUGAGACACGGCCCAGACUCCUACGGGAGGCAGCAGUAGGGAAUCUUCGGCAAUGGACGGAAGGCUGACCGAGCAACGCCGCGGGAGUGAAGAAGGUUUUCGGAUCGUAAAGCUCGGUUGUAAGAGAAGAACGAGUGUGAGAGUGGAAAGUUCACACUGUGACGGUAUCUUACCAGAAAGGGACGGCUAACUACGUG
RNAcentral lists this ribosomal RNA (497 nucleotides) under uncultured bacterium. RNAcentral describes it as "partial 16S ribosomal RNA". It matches the Rfam family "Bacterial small subunit ribosomal RNA", at positions 28 to 507 of the family's 1533-position model. The record is from RNAcentral.